GUACAUGUGGAUAUUAUAUAAAGGUAUACAUGUGUACAUUAAUAAUCCCUCUAAUUUUUGAUUAGGCAUUCAUAUUAUUUUUCUAGAUAUCUAUAUUUUAUCAUGUAUGUAAGUAAUGAAAAGUGCUUUUAAAACAAGUGCCCAGCUCUAGAUGUUCCUUGCACAAGGUCCCUCAUUUUUUAGUUAUUUUUUUUUAAAUAUUUUAGGACAUUAAAUUUUUGAUUAUGAUAACAAAAACAUCUUAACUUUUAUUUUUUGAUUUAUGAAAAAGGUCUUGGAUUAUUUUGAAUUGUACAUACAGUACAAUUUGAACUUGAGUCACACCUGUUUAAACCAAUACUUAACAUUUAAAGAAGUCAAUUAGAGGACUUUCUUAGAAAAAACCACUCUCCGUUUUCUUUAAGUCAAACCUAUAUUGGAAAAGGUUGAGAGUUGGAAGAGCCUUCUCUUUGCCGGCAUGCAAUUGGAUGAACCUUCUCUGUGAAAUCUAGGGAUCGUUGUUUCAGGUCAGGGCCUAUAUUUUUGUAGAAGUUGUGAGAUUGAACUUCUUGUGUUGUAAUCUAGCAGGCAGCUAUCGGUUUGAGAAUAGGUGAAUGAAUCAUUGGUUUAGGAAUGUAGCUUGAGCGUCCACAUGUUUUCAUAAACCAAGAUAGGUUCUCGCACAUCUAUAUACAUGACUUUCAGCAGUUGCAUCCUUGGAAAGAAUAAUAGUUAAUCCCUUGAAAAGUUUUGAUGCUAGAGUUAUGUGCUUUUGACCUAUUGCAGAUUGGCGAAGUCCCGAAACUUACGUCUGGUUUCACAGAAUUUAUCGAUUCUGCAGAGAAUCUGGAGAAGAGGAAGAUGAACCAAGCUUUGCUGGCAAAUCACAACACUCUGCUUGACUUGCUUGAGAUUUCUCAACUUAUGGCCACAUGCCUGAGAAACGAAAAAUUUGACGAAGCGCUUGACCUGGGAGCAUUUGUAUCCAAACUUGCAACUAUACAUCCCAACACCUGCAGCGGAGGUUAGACAAACAACUCAAUCACUUCUCUCACAGCUUCUCCAGAAACUGCGCUCAAAUAUACAGCAGGAAGAUAGACAAAUCAGGCACUUCUCUCCGUUUCAACCGCUGUGUUAAUCACAACGUAACCGGUGUUAUAUAGUACCAUGUUGAAUUAUCAGUUGAUGAUGGAAAUGACAAUGCCACUUUUGUAGUGUUCGACAGAGAGAUGCUUAAACUCACUAAGCAAGAUGCAGCUCCAUCGGUGCGUAUAACAUCUUGCUUAGCUUCAGAUUUCUGAUAUCUUAUAACAACGCAUGGCUAUCUGAACGAUACCAUCAAAGUUCGUUUGAUGGCUUUUAAGCUUCAAAUUAUAUGUUACAUGACCAUCUCUGUAGAUAUCCAUUCUUUUUGUUAAGCUACAAAAGAUGUCUCUCUGCUGCACUUAGCCAUUAAGUUGAUAGAGGCAUUUGCUAUUGUGGGACUGAGGUAGUGUCUCUUGAGCUUUACGUAUCGUUAUCAUGGCUAUGGGCAAUCGUUAGAAAUAACGGUUUUCUUAACUCCUUCAUUAAUGGGCAAAUGGACUUAACGAUCGUACCGGAGUGGAAACGUUGCUUUAAAUCUUCUUUCUCCUUCACUAUCACCACGAGUAGAAAGAUGACCACCAUGAAGUAUAGAGUUGAUCUGUAAUUUUUUUCUCAAUAUCUACAAACAAAACUGAAGAAGGCAAGUUAUAGAGAAGCUUUGCAAGCUGGUGUUUGGAGUUUAUUUACUAAUUUACAAUAAUCAUUUUGAGAUAGAUUUUCCUGUUUGUCUUCGUCGUAUGUUUGUCAGAGACAUGACAAACAGACACUAAGACCAUGAUUAUCGCAUAAGCGAUCCUUAGGUUUUUUUUUUUUCUUUUUUUUUGUUUUCUUAAAAAAAAUAAAUAAAACAAGCCAAUCACUGGCCGUCACGUGUCG
Long non-coding RNA from Brassica napus (rape), 1941 nucleotides. RefSeq lists it as uncharacterized. The transcript is spliced from 6 exons. NCBI's taxonomy places the organism in Eukaryota, Viridiplantae, Streptophyta, Magnoliopsida, Brassicales, Brassicaceae. The record is from RefSeq and is a predicted model, not a curated record.